ACGUGGGUCAAGACCUAGUUGAAUUAUGGGACCCGAAUACUCACUACUUCAACCUAGGAGGUAGGGUCAUGGAACUUUCUGAAAGUGAUGUUGCCCUGAUCACUGGCCUUAGCUUGAGGGGUAUUACCGUUGACCUGUCAAGUGGGAUGGCCAUUAAGGCAUUGUUCUUGUCAUUCUUCAAGCUCCCUGAAAACCGUGCAUCCAACAUAGAGCUAGAUGCGGUGCUUCGCCGGUUGAAAACUAUUGUGAGGUUGGAAGGCCAAGAGUACAUUCAGGAGGUUGUAAAGGUGGUCUUCCUCUUCAUCUUUGGCAGUGUAUUGUUUCACACUAAGCAGUUUCCGAGUGAGUUUCAUCUGGGCCAGUUACAUUGACGAAUGAUGAUUUGGAGCGCAUUGGAGAUUAUGCAUGGGGAGAUGCGUGCAUAACUAUCUUGACCCCUAGCGUACAUCUAAUGAUGCCUAAGCCCUUGAUAGAUUGUUGAAUUCUUGACCCCUAGGGCUGAGGAACUGCCCUUGCUAGAUGUUGUUGGUAGUAAUGUCCCAGUUAGUAAAAUUAAUGGAAUUAGUCUUGUAAGGACCAAUGUGAUAGGUCCCAAUCAAAGCUAGAGUUGAAAGAGUAUUCUGCUUAGGGUGAGAAUGAAACCCACAAGAUUUUUAACUAAUUACCACUAAACUAGUCCCUAAUUAUGGGAUUAUACAGAUUCCUAUGCCAUAGUCUAACAACCUAACCUCUUUAACAAAUUGACCUAUUCUUAUGCAACACACUAACAGAUUGACUCUCUUAACACACUGACCCACUCUUAUGCAACAAAAAGAACUGACUAAACAACUACCUCCUGAUGUAGAUCUUCCAACCAUACGCCGAAGGUUCAGGUUACGUGAUAUUUGUAUGGGCCAUGCGUCUAGUGCUCACAUGUUUUGUCGUUCUAAUUAAGUUGAGGAGCCCGUCGGCCCAAGCAAUGAUGAGGAGAGGCAUGGUGCGACUGAUGACCCUGCUGAAUUUGGUGAGCAUAGAGGGAAGAAGGGCUUCUGCAAAAGUUGCGUCGAGUCGUUGGAAUACCAAAUUCUUCAAAAGAAGGCCAAAGAGUAUGCAUCAAUGAAGCAGAAUGCAGUGCUUCGCACCGAGGUCAAUAGGUUGCAUGCAAUGCUGACCUACAAUGGCAUUGACCCCGAUGGAGUCCCUUUGAGCGAGAGAGUGUUAGCAUUAGCCUCCUGCUAUUGAAAGUUGAUCAUCACCGCACCGCUAUGCCCCCUGUUGGUUUAGCCAACAGCACCGAUGCAGCUCUCUCUCUUGAAUGGAUUACCAUUGAAGCGGCCUCCUGGUUAUGUGAUAUCGUUCAACCGUCUCCAUCUGGCCUAUCCAUUUUCAAACGUAGAUCAACCCAGGUAAGGAGAGAGCAGUUCCAAAGUAGCCUAGUUGUCUCCCAGUGUCAGGUGCCAACACAUCAUGGGCAAGUUGCAAACAUGUUUGCCAUUGCAGCUGAUCCGAAGAAAGUGCAGCAGGAGAAGUGAGGAGUCUGUCUGUAUGGAGUAAUGGCGAUAUGUGGUUGAGUGCACGGUGGCUGCGGCGCCUCUUUGAGACAUAUGCUUAGGUAUACAAUGAGGUGAUAGAUGCGUACGGAUUCUUGGUGGUUGCACGAUCGAUAAAUUUGGUGAAAGUGUGCCAUGUUGUCACGGGGGUAGUUCUACAACGGAAGAAACCCGUGCGGCGUCCUGGCCAAGGCAG
Molecule: long non-coding RNA, 1725 nt
Organism: Nelumbo nucifera (sacred lotus)
Lineage: Eukaryota; Viridiplantae; Streptophyta; Magnoliopsida; Proteales; Nelumbonaceae
Source: RefSeq, a predicted model, not a curated record